RNAcentral lists this ribosomal RNA (443 nucleotides) under uncultured bacterium. Its description in RNAcentral is "partial 16S ribosomal RNA". It matches the Rfam family "Bacterial small subunit ribosomal RNA", at positions 338 to 795 of the family's 1533-position model. The record is from RNAcentral.
CCUACGGGAGGCAGCAGUGGAGAAUAUUGGGCAAUGGGCGCGAGCCUGACCCAGCAACGCCGCGUGAAGGAAGAAGGCUCUCGGGUUGUAAACUUCUUUUAUCAGGGACGAAGCAAGUGACGGUACCUGAUGAAUAAGCCACGGCUAACUACGUGCCAGCAUCCGCGGUAAUACGUAGGUGGCAAGCUUUAUCCGGAUUUACUGGGGGUAAAGGGCGUGUAGGCGGGAAAGCAAGUCAGAUGUGAAAACCAUGGGCUCAACCUGUGGCCAGCAUUUGAAACUGUUGUUCUUGAGUACUGGAGAGGCAGACGGAAUUCCUAGUGUAGCGGUGAAAUGCGUAGAUAUUAGGAGGAACACCAGUGGCGAAGGCGGUCUGCUGGACAGCAACUGACGCUGAGGCGCGAAAGCGUGGGGAGCAAACAGGAUUAGAUACCCUAGUAGUC